GCGAUGACGGUUAGCUGGUCUGAGAGGAUGGUCAGCCACACUGGGACUGAGAUACUGCCCAGACUCCUACGGGAGGCUGCAGUCGAGAAUCAUUCGCAAUGGGCGCAAGCCUGACGGUGCGACGUCGCGUGGAGGAUGAAGGUCUUCGGAUUGUAAACUCCUGUCAUGUGGGAGAAAUGGCCCGGGUCUGAACAGGACCUGGGAAUGAUAGUACCACAGGAGGAAGGGACGGCUAACUCUGUGCCAGCAGCCGCGGUAAUUCAGAGGUCCCGAGCGUUGUUCGGAUUUACUGGGCGUAAAGGGAGCGUAGGCGGUUCGGUAUGUCGAAUGUGAAAGCCCACAACUCAACUGUGGAAAUGCAUUCGAAACUGCCGGGCUAGAGUACUGGAGAGGAGAGCGGAAUUCUUGGUGUAGCGGUGAAAUGCGUAGAUAUCAAGAGGAACACCGGUGGCGAAGGCGGCUCUCUGGACAGAUACUGACGCUGAGGCUCUAAAGUUAGGGGAGCAAACAGGAUUAGAUACCCUGGUAGUCCUAACCUUAAACGGUGUACACUUGGUGUGCGAGGAAUUGUCCCUUUGCGCGCCGCAGCUAACGC
This 595-nucleotide ribosomal RNA is filed under the name uncultured bacterium. RNAcentral's name for it is "bacterial SSU rRNA". It matches the Rfam family "Bacterial small subunit ribosomal RNA", at positions 273 to 858 of the family's 1533-position model. The record is from RNAcentral.